CGGAGGUGGCGCCAGCGCUGGGCGGCGGGUCGAGCGGAGGCGGCGAAAUCCGUGGCCGGAGAAAGGGAGGGCCCGGGUGGCGACGGCGCUGGGCGGCGGGGCGGAUGGAGGCGGCGCCGGCGGGCAGCCCGAGCGGCAACCCCACCACCACCCUCAUCUCCGUCACUCUCCCACGACGGGUACCACCCCUCCUCUGCUCCGACGACCGGCGGCUCUCCUCCCCAGGCCGGCGACGCGGAUCUGGUGGUACGGGACGACCACGGAGCGGCCGGCGAGCUCCGGGCGGCGCGGCGGCGACAGCAGCUCGACGGCGUCGCCCUCCCUGUCCCCCACACCUCCGUCGCCUCCGCCCCCUCACCACCGGGUCACUUCCUCACCACCGGAUCUCGCCACUGGAUACCGUCGCCGACGGAGAUCUCGCCGUCGGAUCCUGCCACCGACCUUCUUAAGUGGUGGUGGUGGAGGGGAGGGGGGGGGGGGGUGGAUUGGGGCUCGUCGCCUCGAGGAGGCCGACGGCGAUGUGGCUCUACGGCGAGGGUCGACCCACCGCCUGUUCUUCAACUGCUUCCGAUGUCCCUCCAUAUAUCUCAGAAAAAGAAAAUUAGGAGGGAGGACUAA
Molecule: long non-coding RNA, 618 nt
Filed under: Oryza sativa Indica Group (long-grained rice)
Lineage: Eukaryota; Viridiplantae; Streptophyta; Magnoliopsida; Poales; Poaceae
Description: lncRNA OsLima_Ung0005200
Source: RNAcentral